GUCCACGCCCUAAACGAUGUCUACUAGUUGUCGGGUCUUAAUUGACUUGGUAACGCAGCUAACGCGUGAAGUAGACCGCCUGGGGAGUACGGUCGCAAGAUUAAAACUCAAAGGAAUUGACGGGGACCCGCACAAGCGGUGGAUGAUGUGGAUUAAUUCGAUGCAACGCGAAAAACCUUACCUACCCUUGACAUGGAUGGAAUCUUCGAGAGAUUGGAGAGUGCCCGAAAGGGAACCAUUACACAGGUGCUGCAUGGCUGUCGU
RNAcentral lists this ribosomal RNA (264 nucleotides) under uncultured bacterium. RNAcentral describes it as "partial 16S ribosomal RNA". It matches the Rfam family "Bacterial small subunit ribosomal RNA", at positions 793 to 1055 of the family's 1533-position model. The record is from RNAcentral.